UACGGAGGAUGCGAGCGUUAUCCGGAUUUAUUGGGUUUAAAGGGCGCGUAGGCGGAAUAUCAAGUCAGCGGUAAAAAUGCGGUGCUCAACGCCGUCGAGCCGUUGAAACUGGCGUUCUUGAGUGGGCGAGAAGUAUGCGGAAUGCGUGGUGUAGCGGUGAAAUGCAUAGAUAUCACGCAGAACUCCGAUUGCGAAGGCAGCAUACCGGCGCCCUACUGACGCUGAAGCACGAAAGCGUGGGUAUCGAACAGG
RNAcentral lists this ribosomal RNA (252 nucleotides) under uncultured bacterium. Its description in RNAcentral is "partial 16S ribosomal RNA". It matches the Rfam family "Bacterial small subunit ribosomal RNA", at positions 524 to 776 of the family's 1533-position model. The record is from RNAcentral.